Molecule: ribosomal RNA, 261 nt
Filed under: uncultured bacterium
Lineage: Bacteria
Description: partial 16S ribosomal RNA
Rfam family: Bacterial small subunit ribosomal RNA
Source: RNAcentral
UGGUAGGUACAGAGGGCAGCUACCCAGCGAUGGGGUGCGAAUCUCGAAAGCCUAUCUCAGUUCGGAUUGGAGGCUGAAACCCGCCUCCAUGAAGUUGGAUUCGCUAGUAAUCGCGCACCAGCCAUGGCGCGGUGAAUACGUUCCCGGGCCUUGUACACACCGCCCGUCAAGCCAUGGGAGCUGGGGGUGCCUGAAGUUCGUGACCGCAAGGAUCGACCUAGGGCAAAACCGGUGACUGGGGCUAAGUCGUAACAAGGUACC